This 522-nucleotide long non-coding RNA is filed under the name Helianthus annuus (common sunflower). Its description in RNAcentral is "hypothetical non coding rna". The record is from RNAcentral. Lineage: Eukaryota; Viridiplantae; Streptophyta; Magnoliopsida; Asterales; Asteraceae.
UGAUUCUUAAUCUUGUUCCAAGAAAUACGCAACGCACGCUAAGGUUGAUGUUCAAGAAAUAAAGAAAUCAAGCUAGGAUGGAACUAGAAACCCAUUUUAGCAUAGUAUUUUAUUAUGUUUGGUUUAUGAUGUACUUGAAAACAAUGUAUUCCAUUUGAUAUUUAUGAAAUAAAUUUAAAUCAUAUUGUCACAAUAGUGUUAUGUUGUUUUGAGCAAUUUGUACGUCUCAUCCCGAUGUUUCCGCCAUCGGUUGGGGUGUGACAUAAAGAACCUAAGUAAUGUAGUUAGGUUCUUUAUUGGGUAUAUGCGAGUUAACAAUAUUGACAAUUUAAGUACUCUACAGACUACACUAGAUGAUAACAAACCUUCUUAAAGCAGGCCAACAUAGGAAAGCAACAUAAGAUGCCAUGAUCCCUGAUGACAGAAGUCCUUUGUUCACAUGUUUCAAGUUUUGUGAAAGAUUACCCUGCAACAAUUCGAGCAAGUUCACCUACAAGAAACUUGAAGUUAUUAGAUCAAUAA